RNAcentral lists this long non-coding RNA (269 nucleotides) under Gossypium barbadense (sea-island cotton). RNAcentral's name for it is "long non-coding RNA (GBAR_LNC006230)". The record is from RNAcentral. Lineage: Eukaryota; Viridiplantae; Streptophyta; Magnoliopsida; Malvales; Malvaceae.
AAAGGAGAGACGAUAGCAGAAAAUCAAAUCUAAUUUGGAAGGUAGCUUCUCGGUUUUUCCCUUUUUCUUCGCUUUCUCCUUAUUCUUCUCUAUUUGGGUGAGCCAAUCGGCUUUCUGGGGUUUGCAUGUAAGGUUGAAGGUAACUCCGAUGAAGGGACCAUGUUGGUUAUCCGUUUCCGGUCCCGAGGAGGUCGGUCAAAGCCUGCAAUCCAAUCUGUCAAAACAAAAAAUGGAUCAUGAUUAUUGUUUUUCUUUGUUAUUUUUGGUGU